This 581-nucleotide ribosomal RNA is filed under the name Meyerozyma guilliermondii. RNAcentral describes it as "eukaryotic LSU rRNA". It matches the Rfam family "Eukaryotic large subunit ribosomal RNA", at positions 71 to 667 of the family's 3401-position model. The record is from RNAcentral. Lineage: Eukaryota; Fungi; Ascomycota; Pichiomycetes; Serinales; Debaryomycetaceae.
GGGAUUGCCUUAGUAGCGGCGAGUGAAGCGGCAAAAGCUCAAAUUUGAAAUCUGGCGCCUUCGGUGUCCGAGUUGUAAUUUGAAGAUUGUAACCUUGGGGUUGGCUCUUGUCUAUGUUUCUUGGAACAGGACGUCACAGAGGGUGAGAAUCCCGUGCGAUGAGAUGCCCAAUUCUAUGUAAGGUGCUUUCGAAGAGUCGAGUUGUUUGGGAAUGCAGCUCUAAGUGGGUGGUAAAUUCCAUCUAAAGCUAAAUAUUGGCGAGAGACCGAUAGCGAACAAGUACAGUGAUGGAAAGAUGAAAAGAACUUUGAAAAGAGAGUGAAAAAGUACGUGAAAUUGUUGAAAGGGAAGGGUUUGAGAUCAGACUCGAUAUUUUGUGAGCCUUGCCUUCGUGGCGGGGUGACCCGCAGCUUAUCGGGCCAGCAUCGGUUUGGGCGGUAGGAUAAUGGCGUAGGAAUGUGACUUUACUUCGGUGAAGUGUUAUAGCCUGCGUUGAUGCUGCCUGCCUAGACCGAGGACUGCGAUUUUAUCAAGGAUGCUGGCAUAAUGAUCCCAAACCGCCCGUCUUGAAAACACGGACC